UUGUACUUCAACGUCAACUUCAACAAACUGGAAUGAUACAGAAAAGAUUAGUAUGGCCCAUGCACAAGGAUGACAGACAAAUUUGUGAAGUGUUCCAUAUUUUU
Tachyglossus aculeatus (Australian echidna) is the source of this 104-nucleotide small nuclear RNA. NCBI's taxonomy places the organism in Eukaryota, Metazoa, Chordata, Mammalia, Monotremata, Tachyglossidae. The record is from RefSeq and is a predicted model, not a curated record.